Molecule: long non-coding RNA, 1136 nt
Organism: Lolium rigidum
Lineage: Eukaryota; Viridiplantae; Streptophyta; Magnoliopsida; Poales; Poaceae
Exons: 3
Source: RefSeq, a predicted model, not a curated record
UGAGCUGUUGAUCCCGGGUGUCUCCAGAGCUACUUUCGGCGACCACAUCCAUGUUUAGAUCGGAUGAAAAGUUUCUUCAAGUCACAAGAUGGAUCAGCUAGAAGCUGCAAAAAGAUUACUAAGUUGGAAGCAUGUGCGCCCAGUAGACUGCAAGGCGACCAAGCCCUAAUGACCCUUUCAGCGCAGUGUUAUCACUCCACGCCACCAUGUCAUAUGCAAAGGUAAUGGAGUCAAUCUUAUCACCUACUCCAGUUUACAGAAGUAGUCUUCAAGCCUCCCAUGGAUUGGAGUGGUGGAUUUGCAGAUCUUCAAUGCCGACUAGGCAACGAAGAUUGAUUGUCAUUGCUUGGAUUUUUUUGUGAUAUGAAGCAUUAUUCUGAUUGAUAGGUACUUUCCCCUAAAUCAUUCAUUAUUAUGCAUUUGCUGUCUGGUGAAAACUUAUUGCUUAUUUUAUUACCUGUGUCAACUCAAAAUUACAAUGCACUGAUGCACACGGAAUUGGAACCUCUUGCUCAAAGGAACAACUUUUUUUUAGCAAACCGAAGACAUUAGGUCAAGGUAUAUUCCAGGGUCUCUAUGUAUCAAGGAAAAUGCAAUACAUGAUUCUGGUUCCUGAUCUGCAUGUAAUUUUGUAGCUAUGAGGUGGAGAGUACAUGUAGGUUUCACUAAACAGGUCUUGCCUAUUGUUUCUCCUUUGACUGUAGGAAGUGGCAUGACCCCGUGCUAUAUACUAAUAAUAUCAGUGGUGAGCUCUUUAUGCGAUCCUUAGUGCACUAUGUUUCUCCCUUUGUAAGUACGACACCAUAUUAGCUGGCUGAGUUGUCACCUAUUGCUUAUUUAUUUUCUCCCUUCUAUUGGCAUAUGCACAAAAUUACAUGUUUGAUUGUUAUUUGGCAUAUAUAUUUCAUUGGAGAAAUAGAAUAUAAUAAUUAGAUGGUUGCAUUCCUCAAUGCAUUGAGAUCAGCAAUAUCAGUUGUAAUAUGGUAGCUGUUUUGUUACUAGAGUUUUUACAUGCACCGGCUGUUAAAUUUUGGAAUUGAACGCUUUGGAUAGGUAGGUGUCUUAUUAGCUACAACCAAAUCAAUUCCUUUUGUGCUAUUUCUUUAAGAAGAAAAUAAGAUGCUAUAAAAGUCAGU